AUGGUCUGCAGUGAUGACUAAUUUUUUUCCCCGGCUUAUCGAUAAAUGCUGAUAAACAAAGAGUAAUGCCAGUUGUUCUGAGCAGACCUA
Molecule: small nucleolar RNA, 90 nt
Organism: Pomacea canaliculata
Lineage: Eukaryota; Metazoa; Mollusca; Gastropoda; Architaenioglossa; Ampullariidae
Product: small nucleolar SNORD12/SNORD106
Exons: 1
Source: RefSeq, a predicted model, not a curated record